RNAcentral lists this ribosomal RNA (305 nucleotides) under uncultured bacterium. RNAcentral's name for it is "bacterial SSU rRNA". It matches the Rfam family "Bacterial small subunit ribosomal RNA", at positions 337 to 659 of the family's 1533-position model. The record is from RNAcentral.
UCCUACGGGGGGCAGCAGUGGGGGAUAUUGCACAAUGGGGGGAACCCUGAUGCAGCGACGCCGCGUGGGCGAUGGAGUACUUCGGUAUGUAAAGCCCUAUCAGCAGGGAAGAAAAUGACGGUACCUGACUAAGAAGCCCCGGCUAAAUACGUGCCAGCAGCCGCGGUAAUACGUAUGGGGCAAGCGUUAUCCGGAUUUACUGGGUGUAAAGGGAGCGUAGGCGGCCUGGCAAGCCUGAUGUGAAAUACCGGGGCCCAACCCCGCGGCUGCAUUGGGAACUGCCAGUCUGGAGUGCCGGAGAGGCG